UUGGAGGGCAAGUCUGGUGCCAGCAGCCGCGGUAAUUCCAGCUCCAAUAGCGUAUAUUAAAGUUGUUGCAGUUAAAAAGCUCGUAGUUGAGUUUCGGGAUCAAUGUUUCGGUCAUGCCGUUGGUAUGUACUGAUAUUAUUGAUUUCUCACCUUCUAAAGAACCGUAAUGCCAUUAAUUUGGUGUCACGGGGAAUUAGGACUGUUACCUUGAAAAAAUUAGAGUGUUUAAAGCAGGCUCACGCUUGAAUACAUUAGCAUGGAAUAAUGAAAUAGGACAUCCGAUUCUACUUUGUUGGUUUCUAGGAUCGAUGUAAUGAUUAAUAGGGAUAGUUGGGGGCAUUAGUAUUCAAUUGUCAGAGGUGAAAUUCUUGGGUUUAUUGAAGACUAACUACUGCGAAAGCAUUUGCCAAGGAUGUUUUCAUUAAUCAAGAACGAAAGUUAGGGGAUCGAAGACGAUCAGAUACCGUCGUAGUCUUAACCAUAAACUAUGCCGACUAGGGAUCGGAUGAUGUUAAUUUUUUAAUGACUCAUUCGGCGCCUUACGGGAAACCAAAGUGUUUGGGUUC
RNAcentral lists this ribosomal RNA (566 nucleotides) under uncultured Glomeromycotina. RNAcentral describes it as "SSU rRNA". It matches the Rfam family "Eukaryotic small subunit ribosomal RNA", at positions 548 to 1114 of the family's 1831-position model. Lineage: Eukaryota; Fungi; Glomeromycota. The record is from RNAcentral.